CCUACGGGUGGCAGCAGUGAGGAAUAUUGGUCAAUGGACGCGAGCCUGAACCAGCCAAGUAGCGUGAAGGAUGACUGCCCUAUGGGUUGUAAACUUCUUUUAUAUGGGAAUAAAGUGAUCCACGUGUGUCUUUUUGUAUGUACUUUAUGAAUAAGGAUCGGCUAACUCCGUGCCAGCAGCCGCGGUAAUACGGAGGAUCCGAGCGUUAUCCGGAUUUAUUGGGUUUAAAGGGAGCGUAGGUGGAUUGUUAAGUCAGUUGUGAAAGUUUGCGGCUCAACCGUAAAAUUGCAUUUGAGACUGGCAGUCUUGAGUACAGUAGAGGUGGGCGGAAUUCGUGGUGUAGCGGUGAAAUGCUUAGAUAUCACGAAGAACUCCGAUUGCGAAGGCAGCUCACUGGACUGCCACUGACACUGAGGCUCGAAAGUGUGGGUAUCAAACAGGAUUAGAUACCCCAGUAGUC
This 460-nucleotide ribosomal RNA is filed under the name uncultured bacterium. Its description in RNAcentral is "partial 16S ribosomal RNA". It matches the Rfam family "Bacterial small subunit ribosomal RNA", at positions 338 to 795 of the family's 1533-position model. The record is from RNAcentral.